GCAAGUAGAACGCUGAAGAGAGGAGCUUGCUCUUCUUGGAUGAGUUGCGAACGGGUGAGUAACGCGUAGGUAACCUGCCUGGUAGCGGGGGAUAACUAUUGGAAACGAUAGCUAAUACCGCAUGAAAUUGCUUAUCGCAUGAUAAUUAAUUGAAAGAUGCAAUUGCAUCACUACCAGAUGGACCUGCGUUGUAUUAGCUAGUUGGUGAGGUAACGGCUCACCAAGGCGACGAUACAUAGCCGACCUGAGAGGGUGAUCGGCCACACUGGGACUGAGACACGGCCCAGACUCCUACGGGAGGCAGCAGUAGGGAAUCUUCGGCAAUGGGGGGAACCCUGACCGAGCAACGCCGCGUGGGUGAAGAAGGUUUUCGGAUCGUAAAGCUCUGUUGUAAGAGAAGAACGGGUGUGAGAGUGGAAAGUUCACACUGUGACGGUAUCUUACCAGAAAGGGACGGCUAACUACGUGCCAGCAGCCGCGGUAAUACGUAGGUCCCGAGCGUUGUCCGGAUUUAUUGGGCGUAAAGCGAGCGCAGGCGGUUAGAUAAGUCUGAAGUUAAAGGCUGUGGCUUAACCAUAGUAUGCUUUGGAAACUGUUUAACUUGAGUGCAGAAGGGGAGAGUGGAAUUCCAUGUGUAGCGGUGAAAUGCGUAGAUAUAUGGAGGAACACCGGUGGCGAAAGCGGCUCUCUGGUCUGUAACUGACGCUGAGGCUCGAAAGCGUGGGGAGCAAACAGGAUUA
RNAcentral lists this ribosomal RNA (740 nucleotides) under uncultured Streptococcaceae bacterium. Its description in RNAcentral is "bacterial SSU rRNA". It matches the Rfam family "Bacterial small subunit ribosomal RNA", at positions 57 to 780 of the family's 1533-position model. The record is from RNAcentral. Lineage: Bacteria; Bacillati; Bacillota; Bacilli; Lactobacillales; Streptococcaceae.